CCCCCCCCUCUUUCUCCUGAUCUGUCGCCGCCGCCGCGGAUCCGCCACCGCCGCGGAUCCUCCUCUACCACCGUCAUGCAGAGGCAGCGGCUUCGCCGCCCUCCUCCGGCAGUCCAGUCGUCUCCGGAAAACAGUAGAUCGGUGCUCCCUUCUCCCUCAUCUCUCUCUCUUCUCUCCCCUCUUCACCGUCGCGCCACCAUCGCCGCUGCGGAUCACCGCCGUCGCGGGUCCGCCCAGCCGUCGUCGCCGAGGAUCUCCCUCCCCCUCCAGCCGCCGACGCCGAUUUCCGAGAGGAGGAAACUCGGUUCAAGCUCGUGGUGUCCGAGUUAAAGUACCCGCUUUCUUAAAACAUACAUUGUAUAAAUUUAAGUUUUGUUGGAUGUAUCGAACAUUAAAAUUUUGAUUAUGGGACUUAUUUAUUAA
Molecule: long non-coding RNA, 423 nt
Organism: Salvia splendens (bonfire salvia)
Lineage: Eukaryota; Viridiplantae; Streptophyta; Magnoliopsida; Lamiales; Lamiaceae
Exons: 2
Source: RefSeq, a predicted model, not a curated record